Molecule: long non-coding RNA, 440 nt
Filed under: Nicotiana benthamiana
Lineage: Eukaryota; Viridiplantae; Streptophyta; Magnoliopsida; Solanales; Solanaceae
Description: long non-coding RNA (NBEN_LNC014336)
Source: RNAcentral
UGGGAGUGUGUGACUUGAACUAUUGAUUGGUCCGUGUAGAUAUAUGCCUGCCGCAUGGGAAUUCACAACCAAAUGUGUCUUUGUUCCAAUCUCCGUGUAAUCCCUAUACAGAGGAUUGGCUGGCUCGCUUAAAGAGAAUCUUUUCUAUGAUCAGGUCCGAAUCAUGUUGUACAUGAGCAGGCUUUUGAUUCCAAAAUCAAACACUGACUAUCCCCUCCCGGAGGGGAGAUAGAAAGGACCCACUCAAUCCAUACUUUCUUUGUUUGAGAAUGAUGUUGGGAGAAAGAAAGGCGACUCUUGUGAUCCUUCGACAUUAUUGAAGGGAGGGGGCUCGACCUGAAGCCUUUAAAUAGAGUCCCAUCCGCCUCCCCGGUUCCACGCGCCCUUACUAGUAAAGGCUCCCAUUGGGAGAAGCAGAAAUUGUUGAGUGAGCGAUCCGG